Molecule: ribosomal RNA, 429 nt
Filed under: Klebsiella pneumoniae
Lineage: Bacteria; Pseudomonadati; Pseudomonadota; Gammaproteobacteria; Enterobacterales; Enterobacteriaceae
Description: bacterial LSU rRNA
Rfam family: Bacterial large subunit ribosomal RNA
Source: RNAcentral
ACCUUCGGGUGUGACUGCGUACCUUUUGUAUAAUGGGUCAGCGACUUAUAUUCUGUAGCAAGGUUAACCGUAUAGGGGAGCCGCAGGGAAACCGAGUCUUAACUGGGCGUUAAGUUGCAGGGUAUAGACCCGAAACCCGGUGAUCUAGCCAUGGGCAGGUUGAAGGUUGGGUAACACUAACUGGAGGACCGAACCGACUAAUGUUGAAAAAUUAGCGGAUGACUUGUGGCUGGGGGUGAAAGGCCAAUCAAACCGGGAGAUAGCUGGUUCUCCCCGAAAGCUAUUUAGGUAGCUGCCUCGUGAACUCAUCUUCGGGGUAGAGCACUGUUUCGGCUAGGGGUCAUCCCGACUUACCAACCGAUGCAACUACGAAUACCGAAGAAUGUUAUCACGGGAGACACACGGCGGGUGCUAACGUCCGUCGUGAAG